CUCAGAGUGGUUUUCCAGAUGGGAAUCACAUUGCUCUCUGUCCCUGAGAUCUUGCUGGAGACAGGGCUACUCAGUCCCUCUUUGCCAGAUUGAUAUUGGAAAAGCAGUUUCUAUUGAGCCCCCAAAUGAAGAGUGAGUGCAGAUGAAGAGGAGGCAGGACUCACAAGCCCUUGACCUUCAUUCCAGAUCUGUUAGCACCUACAGGACCCUGCACCAGGAUUUCAUCUGUACUAUCAGCUUCUUCAAAGAGAGAGAGGUUGUUGAAUUGAUAUUGGAAAAGCAGUUUCCCAUUGAGUCUCAAAUGAAGAGAGUGCAGAUGAAGAGGAGGUAGGAGUCACAAGCCCUUGACCCUCAUGCUAGACCCAUUACCAUCCACAGGACCUUGCAGUGGGAUUUCAUCUGCACCAUCAGCUUCUUCAGAGAGAGAGGUUGUUGACUCUUCAUGUGGAUGUCUGAGCUCAUAUCAGGUGUCUGAAAGAGGCAGAUUCUGAGGAUUUGGGUCAUGAUGGCUGCCAAAGCUUCUGCUCCUGACUUAAAGGGCAACAAUCCUAGGAGACCACCAGCACUUACAUCCCUGGUAGGACAUGACACCUGCUUAUGGCUCAGAAGUGACAAAAGAGAAUUAUCAGGAUGGCAGUCCUUAUAACCAGAUGCUUAUCAACAUUCUUCACUACAUUCUGAAGAUGAAUUUCUACAAGGGAAAUUGUUUAUGGAGGCAGCAGAUGGCUGAAAUUCUGAUCUGAUGUGGCUGGUUAAUGCAUGAUCUGAAAACCCCUGCACUGGUGAUUUUGGGACAGAUCUAGAAUAUACCAAUAAAUAUAUUAACAUACCAAGUAGUCUAGGAGCAGCCACUGGGCGAACACCAAACCUUGCAUCCCUGGUGCUGUCUCUGAGCUCAGCAGACACGUCUUUGCAGAAGAGUUCUAUAAUGGUGGUACAAUGGCGCCCCCUCGUGACAGAAGCUUGAACUACAGCUUGAACUUCGGUGAGCAGGAAGUGUGACAUGAUGAAUGAAUUUAUUGAGCCCCAGGAAGAAGGAAAAUUAAAGAAGAGCAAAGAAUAAUAGCUGGACAGAAGAUGGGGGUCAUUGAACCUAUAUCCUAGUUGCCAGACCAGUAAACUGACCACGGGACCUGGGGGAGGCAGCAGAUGACCGAAAACCUGGAGUGAUGUGGCUGAAUACCGCAUGAUCUGAAGACUGCACUGGUGGCUGCGGUAUGGGUCCAAAUUUUUCCUUAACAAAAACAAAAAAAGAGCCCAAAACCAUACUGACUAGUCCAGGAACGGCCAUUAGGCAAACACAACUUUUUGCUACCCUGGUGUUACCGAUUUCUGAGCUCAACAGGUGAAUUCAAAGAUAUGCCUGUCUUUCCAGCAUGGGGAGCUGGAUUUGGGUCAGCUCAGGCGCAUGAUGUUGAACAUCUCUUAUGAGCUUCUGAUAGUGCCCAGGAAGUACAGAAACAACUGUCUACAAAUCUUUGAACUCAAGGCAUAUCACAGGGACAUUUGCUUUCUUCAACUAGAUAUCUGUUUUCUCAUAAAGAGAAACAAUGAGAAAUGGUUUUUCACAAUGCCUCGUUAGCCCUGAGGCUCAGCCAUC
RNAcentral lists this long non-coding RNA (1600 nucleotides) under Pan troglodytes (chimpanzee). RNAcentral's name for it is "long non-coding RNA NONPTRT018329". Lineage: Eukaryota; Metazoa; Chordata; Mammalia; Primates; Hominidae. The record is from RNAcentral.